RNAcentral lists this transfer RNA (72 nucleotides) under Urocitellus parryii (Arctic ground squirrel). Its description in RNAcentral is "Spermophilus parryii (Arctic ground squirrel) tRNA". It matches the Rfam family "tRNA". Rfam says of the family: Transfer RNA (tRNA) molecules are approximately 80 nucleotides in length. Lineage: Eukaryota; Metazoa; Chordata; Mammalia; Rodentia; Sciuridae. The record is from Rfam by way of RNAcentral. RNAcentral also lists the same sequence under 2 other names.
GGUGUUGUAGCUCAGUGGUAGAGCACUUGCCUGGCAUGUAUGAGGCCCUGGGUUCAAUCCUCAGCACCACAU